RNAcentral lists this ribosomal RNA (2683 nucleotides) under Serpenomonas costata. RNAcentral describes it as "partial 18S ribosomal RNA". It matches the Rfam family "Eukaryotic small subunit ribosomal RNA". Lineage: Eukaryota; Euglenozoa; Stavomonadea; Heterostavida; Serpenomonadidae. The record is from RNAcentral.
GCCGUAUGCUUGUUUCAAAGAUUAAGCCAUGCAAACCUGAGAGCAAAUGAAUCCAACAGUAGGUCCGUGAACGGCUCAUUAAAUCAGCGAUUAUCUACCCAGUUCUGCGGGGCUUGCCCCGUCAGACGGAUACCGACAUUAACUAUGUCGCUAAUACGUGUAAGAAAACUGCUCUCUCAUCCAACACACUGCCCACUGAUAUAAUCAUAUGCUUCUUAUCUGGCCCUCCUGUAGUGUUCAUUACGGUGUUGCUUCUUCUGGCUCUCUUUAUAUGAUGCCCUCUCUGUGUUUUUGAGGUGUCAAUAGCUGGUUCCUUCUGCUUACCUUCAUUGGUUGGUGGUUGGGCUUGGUUGUUGGUACUUUCUGAAUAUGGAGUUGUGGUUCUCAUAUAUCAAGAGUGGUCGGUUUGAGGUAUCAUUUGUGUGGAUACAUUCAAAUAUGGGAUUGUUCAGUAAGAACGUGUUAUGUUUGUAUUGGAAUUUGGGUGGUGUGGAGGGAGCAGUCGGUUGACCGAUAGCAAAACCAACGCCACCAGUUCCAACCAAGCUUCGGCGAGGAGGACUGGUUACAAUGGCAGUGAAACGUGCUUUCUACGCACUCUAACGAUGAACCAGGUCAACCACGAUAAAGCGCAUCAGGCCCCUGUGCCUGGCGCGGAACUGGACGAAUUUCUGCCUUAUCAGCUAUGAUGACAGUGCAGUGAACUGUCAUGGCAAUCACGAGUACGGGGAAUUAGGGUUCGACUCCGGAGAGGGCGCCUGAGAAACGGCGACCAGAUCUAAGGAUUGCAGCAGGACGCAAAUUGCCCAAUGGCAGUACGUUGUUGAGGCAGUGACGAGAAAUAACAACACCGGCAGAUUACAUAUCGGCCGGUGAUUGUAAUGGACGGUACCAAAAGCCACUGAUGAGUACCCACUGGAGGACAAGUCUGGUGCCAGCACCCGCGGUAAUUCCAGCUCCAGUAGCAUACACUAAUGUUGUUGCGGUUAAAAAGCUCGUAGUUGGAUUCGGAGCUGUGGAUUGCAGGUUUGGUUGCACGCGGAUCCCCGCAAGGAGUUCUGUCGCGCAACCUCCUGCACUCGAUCCUGGCUCUACACACACGGGACCGGUUGCCCCGUCCGCUGCUAGGCCUUCGGGUCUACAGUAGACAUCUUAACGGGCCGUCCGUGGGUGUUACUGUGAACAAAACAGCGUGUUCAAAACAAGCGGGGCUUGCCUCUUGCUUGAAUGAUCUAGCAUGGAAUAACAGGGGAGUGACCUCUUGGUUGCCUCUUCCGUUUGUUGGUUUUGACAGCCGAACAGGGUAACGUAAGACCGGCGUGCCGUGCGGUUGGAUUUUGGUCCUAUUAGUGUAUAUAUUGAAUUGUAUACCUUCUGUGUUAUCUGUACCUCUUUAUUGGGUUCUGGUAUCCUGUGUUGUGUGUUCUGUUCUUAUAUGGCUUAUAACUGUGUUAUAUCCAAAUUGCAUUGGGAUUCGCUCCUUCUGUAAGAUGGGUACGCAUGGCUUGAGUUCGUAUAUUACAGAUACAUAUGGCAUUGGAGAAGGGAUCUAUUAUAAUGAAGGGGAUUGCAGUAGUGCAGUUGUGUGUUACAAGACGGUAUAUCAUGAACAGCUAAUAUUCCAGCCGUGCGGCCCCUGUCUCCAUCCAGGAUAAAUCGGGGCACACGGUGAGAUACGUAUUGUGGCGCUAGUGGUGAAAUACUUAGACCGUCACAAGACGAACAUCUGCGAAAGCAUUUCUCAAGCAUGCCUUCUUCAAUCAAGAGCGAUAGCAUGGGGAUCUAAGAUGAUCAGAUACCGUUGUAGUCCAUGCUGUAAACGCUGCCAGCGAGGCUUCGGACGUCAGAUUUGGCAUCCCGACUCGUCCGGCGCCUACCCCCAUAACGAGAAAUCCGAGCCUGGGUUCCGGGGGGAGUACGUCCGCAAGGCCGAAACUUAAAGGAAUUGACGGAAUGGCACCACAAGGCGUGGAGUGUGCGGCUUAAUUUGACUCAACACGGGAAACCUCGCCAGGUCCGGACUCACUGAGGAUUGACAGAUUGAGAGCUCUUUCUUGAUCGUGAGGGUGGUGGUGCAUGGCCGUGCUGGGUUGGUGGAGUGAUUUGUCUGCUUAAUUGCGAUAACGAACGAGAUCACAACCUCUCACUCGGGCUCUGCUUCGCACUUAUGUAGGGGUGGUCCUGUUGUUCGCUUUCCGAUUCGUCGGGGGAGGGCACUGGUCCAAUUUUACGCCCCGAGAGGCAGGGACUCCAAGCCUUAGAGGGACUGGCGGUGCCCCCUCAACCCCCGGAAGAAUGUGCCUUUCACAGGUCUGUGAUGCUCCGCAAUGUACUGGACUGCACGCGCACUACACUGGCAUGGUCAACGAGCGACCGACCGCAUUCUUGCGGUUCCUAAUUGGAAGCGAUUUGGAAAUCUUAGCAAACCGUGUCGUGAUCGGGGAUAGGUGAUUGCAAUUAUUCGUCCUGAACGAGGAAUGCCCAGUAAGGGUGAGUCAUCAGCUCACCCUGAUUGCGUCCCUGGCAUUUGUACACACCGCCCGUCGUUGUCAUCGACUGGCUGGAUAACAGAGGUCUUGGGAGACUACGGUUAGAAGUUCGCUUCUCUCCGUCCCGCAAGGGGUUGGUCAAACUUGCCCAAUGUUGUUCAGCUGAAGAUGAUAAAAGUCGUAACAAGGUUACU